RNAcentral lists this ribosomal RNA (253 nucleotides) under uncultured bacterium. RNAcentral's name for it is "partial 16S ribosomal RNA". It matches the Rfam family "Bacterial small subunit ribosomal RNA", at positions 524 to 776 of the family's 1533-position model. The record is from RNAcentral.
UACGGAGGGUGCAAGCGUUAUCCGGAUUCACUGGGUUUAAAGGGUGCGUAGGUGGCUUUGUAAGUCAGUGGUGAAAGCCCGGAGCUCAACUCCGGAACUGCCAUUGAUACUGCUUAGCUUGAAUCAGGUAGAGGUGGAUGGAAUAUUACAUGUAGCGGUGAAAUGCUUAGAUAUGUAAUAGAACACCGAUUGCGAAGGCAGUUCACUAUGCCUGCAUUGACACUGAGGCACGAAAGCGUGGGGAUCAAACAGG